GGCCGGGACCCGUGCGGCGGGAAGCCCGAACCGUGUCAGGACCGGAAGGUAGCAGCACUAAGGGUCAAUUCCCGGGUGCCACGGUUGCACCCGGCCCGA
RNAcentral lists this signal recognition particle RNA (99 nucleotides) under Chloroflexota bacterium. Its description in RNAcentral is "Chloroflexi bacterium signal recognition particle sRNA small type". It matches the Rfam family "Bacterial small signal recognition particle RNA". From Rfam's summary of the family: The signal recognition particle (SRP) is a universally conserved ribonucleoprotein involved in the co-translational targeting of proteins to membranes. Archaeal SRP consists of a 7S RNA and homologues of the eukaryotic SRP19 and SRP54 proteins. In most bacteria, the SRP consists of a 4.5S RNA and the Ffh protein (a homologue of the eukaryotic SRP54 protein). Lineage: Bacteria; Bacillati; Chloroflexota. The record is from RNAcentral.